Long non-coding RNA from Lemur catta (Ring-tailed lemur), 325 nucleotides. RefSeq lists it as uncharacterized. The transcript has 3 exons. The record is from RefSeq and is a predicted model, not a curated record. NCBI's taxonomy places the organism in Eukaryota, Metazoa, Chordata, Mammalia, Primates, Lemuridae.
GCCACCGAGAAGGAAUGGCGUUUACAAUCAAACCUAGCCCGAGCCUGAUGCCAUUUCCAAAGAGGAAAAACCAGAGAAACACAUCUCAGGAUGAUUCAAAACUCAACCCCAUGUUGAGCAACUCAGAAGAAAAUCCAGCCACUCUCCAGCAUAUAAAAUUCCUGUGUGAAAGAUGUCCUCCUUAUACCAGAAGAAAAGUAUCAUUAUCAAGGAUGGGAAGUUGAGGCCGAGAGAAAUCUGCACAAACAAACCAUGUUAGACUAACCCUUAGUCUCCUAACCACUUCUCCAUCCAAAUAACUAUCCUAUCCCAAGUGCCUGUGCCU